Molecule: long non-coding RNA, 951 nt
Filed under: Salvia miltiorrhiza (redroot sage)
Lineage: Eukaryota; Viridiplantae; Streptophyta; Magnoliopsida; Lamiales; Lamiaceae
Description: long non-coding RNA (SMIL_LNC002017)
Source: RNAcentral
UGGACAAUUACAACAGGAGUCUAAAAAUUGAUAACAGAAUUCAGGCUGGAAAACCAAGAUCAACUGACUUUCUUUCUGGAUUUGGAACAUGAAAUAUUUCAUGUAACAUUGUGCGACUCCAAACAGAACCCGAGAAGGUUCUUUCAUGCUCCACCAGUUGCUCCAGAAAUUGCUCCACGACCACUUGCGCUACCAGUUGCUGCACCAGUAGUUCGUCCGCCUGUUGCUCCACCAUAUGUUGUUCCACCACCUGUUGCUCAACCAGUUGCUCCGGCACCACCUCCUCCACCAGUAGCUUUGGCACAACUUGUUCCACAAAAUGCUCAACCACCAGAACCAGCAGUCAACGCAGAUGAAAAUAUUCCAAGCUUUCAUCUACAACCGCAACACAUAUUACAAAGUGGUUGGUUGAGAAAACUCUAAAACUUCUUAGUCGCUCUUGUAUAUAUUUAAUAUUUUUACAUUUAUCGCAGAACGUGUCAAGAGACUUCUACAAUGCUUACUUGCAGGACUUAGACGAGGUAAACGUUCGAUUCAUACGUGCAAAGACAAUGUUGCCAGUGCAAAUCAAUGUAAGGCGCCCAAGGUCUCCAAUAAUUGAACUGAGGCAAGGAUGGAGAGAAAUCACAUGCCACAACGAUUUGAUCGAGGGCGGAGUGUACAAAGGCUUCUUUGAUGCACGAAGAACAGCUAUUGUGUUUAGACAACAAUGAUCAUAACAGGUACAAUUUCAAACUCUAUGCAUAUAUCACUUAACAAUUUCAAACUCUAUGCAUAUAUUCUACACUAAAUGCCUUACUAUACAUAUAUUGUGAACUAAUAAAAAAUGAUUUCACAGACUGUGAUAUCGAAGAACAUCUCAAACAGACUUGGUGUUGCAAAAGAUGAUGCUUUUAUGUUUAAUAUCUCAAACAAUGGUAGCUGAAAUACUUUUGUAAUAUAUUAUGGUGC